GCGCGAAAACUUUACAAUGCGAGCAAUCGUGAUAAGGAAACCCUGAGUGCCUGUCAAUGCAGGUUGUUCUGGUGUCUAACACACACCAGGAGAAAGGGCGG
Molecule: ribosomal RNA, 101 nt
Filed under: uncultured Methanocalculus sp.
Lineage: Archaea; Methanobacteriati; Methanobacteriota; Methanomicrobia; Methanomicrobiales; Methanocalculaceae
Description: partial 16S ribosomal RNA
Rfam family: Archaeal small subunit ribosomal RNA
Source: RNAcentral